Molecule: non-coding RNA, 2074 nt
Organism: Arachis ipaensis
Lineage: Eukaryota; Viridiplantae; Streptophyta; Magnoliopsida; Fabales; Fabaceae
Source: RefSeq, a predicted model, not a curated record
AAUUGAAAACACGUACAGAAAAAGUAAAGAAAAUUUCACUCUUACACAAAGCGCCGCCUUCCUCUUUCACCUGUAAGCUUCCCCAAACCCUCUCCAUCCCUUUUUUCUCUUCGCUUUCUCGCUCUCUCUUUUCUUCAUCAAUGAAAGAUUGAUUUUGCUACUGGGCUGGGUUAACUCACGUAGCCAUUGUCUGGGUUAACUCGUGUAACCAUUGCCAUCGCCGACCACCAUCACCACCACCAUAACCAUUGCCGAUAGCCGUCGUUCAUCAUCCUACUCCUUGGACUUUGUGUGCAUUCGAUUCACCUCAGAUCUGCAUCUCUGUCAUCGUUGUUUGUCUCAGAUCUACAUCGCCAAGGUCUUCCAGCCACCAUUGUUGCUCUUGUCGCAACACAACACCUCCGCCGCUUGCACCGCCGCCGUUCUUUCAAGUAGACGCACAAGAUCGUCGCUGCCGCCAAAUAUUAUCUAAUGGAAAGGCCUUUGGAUGCUUCACGAGCGGUUCGAUUCUUAUAAAUGGAAGGAAUGAAUCAAUCCACUCCUUCAAGAAAAUUAUUGGCUUUGUGACACAAGAUGAUGUAGUUCAUGGAAACUUGAGAGUAGAAGAGAAUCUAUGGAUUAGUGCACAAUGCAGGUUAUCAGCUGAUUUGUCAAAACCAGAAAAAGUUCUAGUUCUUGAAAGAGUUAUUGAAUUCUUGUGGCUUCAGUCUGUGAGGAAUUCCUUGGUUGGAACAUUGGAAAAGCAAAGGGAUCUCUGGCGGCCAAAGGAAGCAUGUAAUUGUCGGAUUAGAAAUGGUUAUGGAACCUUCACUUCUGAUCCUGGAUGAACCCACUUCUGGUUUGGACAGUGCAUCAUCUCAGUUUCUUUUAAGAGCUCUAGGAUGUGAAGCGCUUAAGGGAGUGAACAUUUUGCAGAUUAAUCUUAUACUUCCCUCACAAUGAUUUGAUGAUUGAUUUUGAUACUUCAGCUAUGCAUGGUUCAAGAUAUUUGAUGCAUUGUAAGUGUUUAAGUGUUUGAUUUUGAUUUUGAUCCUAAAAGAUAACAGCCAAAAGUAUCCUUUUGAGUACCCUAAUCUGAUGAUGGACGGCCACAUUCACUUCUCUGCCUUCUUCAAUUAUGAUAAUCCACCGCAUGAGGUCCUUCCCACCACAGCAGAGCAACCAAUAAAUUUGCAACAUCCCUUGUCUUAAAUUCCAUUUAUGAGCCCGUAGCAAUUUCAUUUGAUGGCCAAAAUUUUUGCAGCCUAGAGUCUUUGAAUUCGGAAGGCAAGGUUUGUAUUUUCUAUAUCCUCUUCUGCGGCUUGUUCAUAUGAGUAUGAAUGAGAACACUUGCCACUGUUUCAAUAUCAGAUCAUAAUUAUAUAGUGCCUAAUUUGAUGAAAAGACUUAUACAUGUGAAUGGCUGCGUUGGGUGGAAAUAUAAAGCAGCAAGCAUACAAGAACUUGAAGGAUUUGAAGCCAUUUGGCGCAAGUUCAGCGGGUCAAUCUCUGGAAAACUUUGAUUUCCCAGUUUCUCAUCAGCAAGCCGUCUGUUACAACUAAUGAAAUUGAUAAAGCAGUGCAUCAGAUGAUAAUUGAUGCUGGUGCUUAUCCCUCACCCCUUGGCUAUGGUGGAUUUCCAAAAAAUGUGUGCACAUCAGUUAAUGAGUGCAUGUGCCAUGGAAUACCCGAUUCUAGGCAGUUACAGAAUAGUGACAUUAUUAAUAUUGUUGUGACAGUAUACCUGAAUGUAUGCUUCUAAUUUCCUGGGAUAUCAUGGGGACACGUCAAAGACAUUUUUUUGCGGGAAGUCACUAAUGAAAUGAAAAAUCUUGUUGUGGGAUCAAGGUCACGCUCUUCAAAUUAAUUCCCUUUCAACUGUGGAGGAACCCUUAGUUGCAAAAGCAAAAUGUGGAAAUUGGGAGAUAGACAAGAGGUUGUUGAAGAUAGGAGAAAGAAUAGCAUCUAGAUCUUGUGGAGAUUUGUAAUUUGUAGCAUUUUUUGUUGUUUAGAUUUGUAACAUGAUUUAUUAUUUUUUAAAAGAAAUUUGUGUAUUAAUAUUUUGAGUUUAAUAAAAUAUUUCAUUUUAUAGUAA